CCUACGGGUGGCAGCAGUGGGGAAUUGUUCGCAAUGGGCGCAAGCCUGACGACGCAACGCCGCGUGGGGGAUGAAGGUCUUCGGAUUGUAAACCCCUGUUGGGUGGGACGCGGUACCACCUGAGGAAGCCCCGGCUAACUCUGUGCCAGCAGCCGCGGUAAUACAGAGGGGGCAAGCGUUGUUCGGAAUUACUGGGCGUAAAGGGCGCGUAGGCGGCCUGUUAAGUCAGACGUGAAAUCCCUCGGCUCAACCGGGGAACUGCGUCUGAUACUGGCGGGCUUGAAUUCGGGAGAGGGAUGUGGAAUUCCAGGUGUAGCGGUGAAAUGCGUAGAUAUCUGGAGGAACACCGGUGGCGAAGGCGGCAUCCUGGACCGCUUGACGCUGAGGCGCGAAAGCCAGGGGAGCAAACGGGAUUAGAUACCCUUGUAGUC
RNAcentral lists this ribosomal RNA (431 nucleotides) under uncultured bacterium. Its description in RNAcentral is "partial 16S ribosomal RNA". It matches the Rfam family "Bacterial small subunit ribosomal RNA", at positions 338 to 795 of the family's 1533-position model. The record is from RNAcentral.